This 303-nucleotide long non-coding RNA is filed under the name Gallus gallus (chicken). Its description in RNAcentral is "lncRNA (ENSGALG00010002246.1)". The record is from RNAcentral. Lineage: Eukaryota; Metazoa; Chordata; Aves; Galliformes; Phasianidae.
CACCAGUGUAGGUCCUCACUGGGAAUGACAGGACACUGUGUUUGUUCAGGAAUGAAAAUGCACCUGGAACCCUGAGAACAGUGGGAGAUAGCAUUCUCAGUUGGAUUUUAGGGAAGAUUUCUUCUCAGAAAGAGCAGUGAGGCGUUGGAAUGAGCUGCCCAGGGACUGGGUGGCAUCACCAUCCCAGGAGGUGUCCAAGAACCAUGGAGAUGUGGCACCAAGGGACAUGACACUAAAUUGCAGCCACAAGAACCAAGAGUUACAUAAAGCGCCCUCUUAUCAUCGCGGCUCCUCAGAUUCUUC